Long non-coding RNA from Lolium rigidum, 2111 nucleotides. RefSeq lists it as uncharacterized. The transcript is spliced from 4 exons. NCBI's taxonomy places the organism in Eukaryota, Viridiplantae, Streptophyta, Magnoliopsida, Poales, Poaceae. The record is from RefSeq and is a predicted model, not a curated record.
CUGCUCGAUAGUCUGCUAGCGGCGUCCACCCGGAGGGCUUGGGUUGUCUUGGGAUAAAGGAGCUGAACAUGGAAGAGGUGGCAAUGCCUGAGUUCGCAUGCCUCUACCAGUACAAUGACCAAGAAGUCGCCUUCCUCUGUGCGCACCUCGAGGAGGCCACCCCUCGAGCCCCAUGUUUGGUCAGUGCUCUUAAUUAUCCUGCUGCUUGGAUGAUCAGAGGAAGAACAAAUGAUGGAGUCUUUUGUAUUAAUUUUAAUGACAUAUAAUACACACUGAAGACCUACAUGUGGCAGAUGGUGAUAGUGGGCAGAGCGAGAGGAGGAUCUGUGCAACGAGUGCUUUGCCUUUCCUUUAAUGCAGGAGAUUUCACCACUCCUCAAGCUGUACUGCCGAAUUUGAUGCUACUUGCUAAUGAUCAGCGUUACAACCAAGAUAGUUGUGAAAUUCUCCCGCAAAAUAAAGGAUGCUUGUUGGCGGAGUGAAGCCUGCCUCGGCAAAGAAGCUGUAUGCUGGAGGAGCUGAACCUUGCACCAGGCCAUGGGUGUUGCACGGUUUACAACCCUGUGAUGAUUUCCGUUUAGAUAGUUACAUGUGGGCGGUGACAAGUAUGUCCAUGGUAAGUGAGUUAUUUACCCUUUCAUUACAGUGCGGGACAGAAAUGAACAAUCUAGGGUGGAUGAAGACCAGCGCUUUGCACAAGUUUUUGUGUUUACGGCCCAGGAGAACCUUUGUUGUUUUCCCUGUUGUGGAAGAGUGGCAUGUGGAUACAUAAUAUGUGUUCGUGUGCAUUAUAGCCUUGGAUAUUCUUAGAAGUCUUACAAGGUAAUUCACACCUCAUUUUUGUAUUAUUUCUCCCGUUGCAUUAUCGCCUUGAAUUUAUGUAAGUGGUGAUAUUUACAAAUGAAUGUUGGUUUAUGUGCUUGACCUGCUGCGCCGGAGCAGAUUUUUCUGCCAUCUGUGCAGCUGCUAAAUUUUGUGCUUAUUUACGUCAGUAGCUUAUUUGCCACUUCUAUUAUGGAGUUUGCCCAUCGUUUUCUCUGCCAGAAAAUUGUUUAGAGUAAUAAUGUUGCACAUAUCUGUAGGAGAUGCAUUUUAAAAGUUCCGUGCUUCUUUAGGUAAGUAGCUUAUUUGACAUUUCUAUUAUGGAGUUUGCCCAUCGUUUUCUCUCCCAGCAAAUCUUUUAGAGUAAUAAUAUUUCCGAUAUUUGGGAGAUGCAUUUUCAUUGGUAGGCAGGUCCUGAGUGUUAUUAUACAUUUAUGUCGCUCCAGAGAUGAUGAUUGAUUUUCUUAUCAGGCUUUAAUCGUCUUCGCGUUACAGCACGAUGUAGGUGCCCGCCUUGGACACCAGAAUGGAAGACACCAUACUUUUAAUGUUUGCAUGUUUUAAUUUUGCUUUCGGAAUUUGGUCACCAAGUUUUUAUUUUCCAUGUUUCAUGUAUAGUAGAAUCUUUGCGUCAGUUGGUAGUAGACUUAGGAGUACUUAACAAGCAUAUACAACAUUGAACCCUCACCAACAGCCGUUUGGUAUAGAUGAGUUUGCAAUUUAUCUUCUCUUUUGUUCCUUCAACUACCUACUGAACAUGUAUAUACAACACUGAAAUCUCGGACAAUAUAUUGAUGCGCAGAGCCUUUGAUUCAUUGACUGCUAGACUUUGUUCUAGGUUCUGAUCUUUCAAAAAAAAAAAAUGUUCGCUGCGGUAGCAUGUUGCGGUGGCGGCAGCCAUGUCCCAAUCAUCGUUGGAGUGCCAAGGGCGUGUUCUCUUGUGAGGCAGCUUCGUCUGUGUCACCUCCACAUCUUCAGAUUCCUGAGAAUGUCAAGAGAGAAGGGAGUAUUCAAGAAGUCUCCGUCGAAUAACCAGAGCUCCAGAUCUUGAGCAUUCCAUUUAUUCACUGCAGCUCAUGCCAGUGGUAUUUGUAUCUAGGGAGUAGACUUUUUUUUCGAGUACUUGCAGGAGAUCUGCGAGUUUUGUAUUUAGAUAGAAGAAAGGAAAAAGCCAAACACAAAGGGGGGGAGCAGAUUAGAGUUUUCUCUAGGGCAUUAUAUACCAGAAAUUGUUUACAUUAUAUGUGUCCUGAAUAGUACUAUUAACCCGAGGCAGCUUCUCUUUGGCU